Molecule: long non-coding RNA, 1937 nt
Organism: Cryptotermes secundus
Lineage: Eukaryota; Metazoa; Arthropoda; Insecta; Blattodea; Kalotermitidae
Exons: 3
Source: RefSeq, a predicted model, not a curated record
UUACAGAAUGCUUACGGAUAUUACUGUCAUUCUACAGCUCAAUUCUUCCAACGAAAACAGCGAAAACAUCAGCAGCGCCUGCGCAUGUAGAGAGAACAACAGAGAGAACCUGUCUGCAUUUAACGUAGCCUCAUAGCUAACACGAAUAUGCAGCCAUUUAUUCCCGAGGGAAGUAAUGUCUUGAAGUUGUUCCAGCGACGAUUCAAUUUAUUAUAGACGCCGCACGGAAAUCCGAAUAUUUCACUGAGCAGCAGUAGUGCCAGGUCCAUCACACUCUCCUCCAUCUUCUGUUUCAAAGUCUGCAGAUCCAAGCAAACAACUCAGUUCCACAGAAAGUCCCCAGAAUUUGACUUCACAGAAGAGACCAAAACAGUCUGGAGAUCACCGUGUACUCGUAGCCUACAGAAGUAAGAAGGGUGUAAGUGCUGCUGUGACUGUAUAGCCUUCUGGACUGUGAGACCGCGCAUGUAACCCUGUUAAGUGGAUACUAACGUUUCAGAAGAGCAUGCUGCUGCCAUGUUCAGGGUUAAAGUGUUUAUGGCAAGGAAUCAGGUGGGUUACAUACAAAAUGGACACUAGGAUACAAAGGGAAAGGGAAAGGAGAGAGAGUGUGGUGCGGCUCAGCAGGAAGAGUGAAGAUGAAAACAGCCACUGCCAUAACUAAAGCAAAGGAAGCAAACGUUAGUGUCCACCUACAAGGCUCCUAAAAUUUUUUAUAACAGUAGUUGAAGAAAUAAUCUGGUAUUCCUAAUAUUAAUUUAAGUGGCCCACCAUAAUAUCUGAUAUGGCAUAAAUACAACAGUGUUUUAGGUUUGCAAAACAGAAAUUCAAGAAUAAUUACCAUAUCUACACACUGAAAGCACACAUUAUAAAUAAAUGUACAAAUAAAAUGAUCAUACAUACUUGCAGACAGAAAGAUGAGUCUUGAAGAUGUAAAUAUACUGAACACACAUACAUACAUACAAGUACAUACAGUAUGAUAAUUCUUUCAGGUCUUCUGAUGAAUUCAGUAUGACAUUUUGAUAAUUAUGUACUGGUCUGAUGCUGGACUGAGUCUGCCACUUUCAAAAUUAGAAUAAAAUAAACUUUAAUCCACAGGGUGAUGUAUGUUAAAAUAAAAGGGCCUCAAGUGACUAACUGUUCAGAGAACAGUGGUUAUCAUUAAGAACCACAUGCUUUAACAUGAAAAAUCUUGCAUUUUGCCUAAAGUGUAUAUUUAUGUGUUCCAUACGAUUCUCAGAACAAGGAGCAUUAACCAGUCGAAUAUCCUUCUAUUUCUGUGACAUAGGAACUAAAUUUUUAAAAAUGAUUUAGCUGAAUUUCAGGCUUGAAAGACUUUGUGGCUAUAAAAAUCUAUUUGCCUGGUCUUGUGGUUCACUGGAAUAUGUAAAUAUAAGGAGCUUUCUGCCUCCACUGGAACUAAAGAAUACAUUUUUCUCAUUGUCCCUAACUCCUCAUAAGAGAUCAAAGUGAGGAAGUGGGGGGAGGAGGAGAAAGAAGUGGAGAGAGAUUAGGAAGAAAAAGACAGUGGAAUAUUUUUGCACAAGUUGAGUAAAUGGUGGUGGUGUGGGGGGGGGGGAGACAUAUGAAAGCCACUUUUUGAACUUCAAUUCUGCUGACACCACAUGCUACUUAAUGCUGUACUGCAAUAUAAAUCACGGUUUUCUCUAACUACAGAAUUAGUUAUCACUGUUAAGUCACUCCUACUGGUUGGUGUGAAAAUAUAAUGAAGAAAAUAUCAAGGUCAAAAAGGGAAGUUGAUUUCAGCAUGUUGCGAUGACCUUCCCAACUUCAUACAGAUAUAAUGUCAUACCUCAUGUCACAUUAUUUUGAGCAAAUACAUGAGAGGGUCAGCUAUGGACAAUGUAAUGGCUGUGCCAUAGCUCAGGCGGUUAAUUGCUGGCUUCCCAUUACGGUGUUCUGGGUUCGAGCCCUGG